UCCAGCUGAGCUAAGAGUAGCAGCAGCACCAGGGCAGGGACUGACUCCAGCCCUUGGACUUAGGACAUCGCAACACCUUCCCUUGCGUGCGUGACUCAUUCGCACAUCCUUUCUGUUUAUGCCUGGGGUGGGGAGAAAAAUCCCAAACCAGCUGUGUAAAUGAGUAUGGAAGAUUAUGAUUUCCUGUUUAAAAUUGUUUUAAUCGGCAAUGCUGGUGUGGGGAAGACGUGCCUAGUCCGACGGUUCACUCAGGGUCUUUUCCCCCCAGGACAAGGAGCCACAAUUGGAGUUGAUUUUAUGAUUAAGACAGUGGAGAUUAAUGGUGAAAAAGUAAAGCUCCAGAUCUGGGACACAGCAGGUCAAGAGAGAUUUCGGUCCAUCACCCAGAGUUAUUACCGAAGCGCCAAUGCCUUGAUCCUCACCUAUGACAUAACCUGUGAGGAAUCCUUCCGUUGCCUUCCUGAGUGGCUGCGGGAGAUAGAACAAUAUGCUAGCAACAAGGUCAUCACUGUGCUAGUGGGCAACAAGAUUGAUCUGGCUGAAAGGAGAGAGGUCUCCCAGCAGAGAGCUGAAGAAUUCUCAGAAGCUCAGGACAUGUAUUAUCUGGAGACCUCGGCCAAGGAAUCCGAUAACGUGGAGAAACUCUUCCUUGACUUGGCGUGCCGCCUCAUCAGUGAAGCCAGGCAGAACACACUUGUGAACAAUGUAUCCUCACCCUUACCUGGAGAAGGGAAAAGUAUCAGCUAUUUGACUUGUUGUAAUUUCAACUAAAGGCUGAGGCAAGGAGAAGCAAGAGGAAUCAGCAGUUGCCCUGAUGGGCCACCAAUUGCUGGGGAGAUCUGGCGAUGACUAUGGGUCCCGCUCUAGUACCUUCUGACUCCUGUGGGCUCCUGAGCUUACAAAGCAUGGCAGGCCAAGGGCCUUGUCCACAGGCCAGCAUUAGCAGAACAUAUAAUGGUUUCACCCUUUUGCAGUCUGGAGUCGGAUCAAGGAGAAAAUUGCACUAGGCGCUCCAUGACCUGCAGAGCAUGUUGCUUUUGUUUUUUUUAAAAAAGCAAGUAAAACGCAUUCCUGAACACAGUCCAGGGGGAGACGUACUGUAGGGAUCCCUCCUGCACGUCAGUGGGUGCAUGUGGGGGCUGCUCUUUAGGGCUUCUGGGGGCCCUGGUUUUCUUGUCUACCAGGUAAACCAAAACUGGGAACGCCAAGUCCUGUCUCUGGUGCGUGCUGAUGGCUCCAUGGAGAUUUUGAAAAGUGUUAUUUCUCUUUUCCAUGGGCACUUUCAAGAACUUUGGGAUGUAAAAAUGAAAUGAAACCUUUACCCGUGACAACAGUAGCAAUCAUUAUUAAUGUAUACAAGCUCCAUGACUCCUUUUGGUGCUAAUGAUUCCACUCUUUCACAGACCAAACGUUUUAGUACAUUGAUGUCCUUAAAUACAUUUCAUAGAAAUAAAAACAAAACAAAACAAAAAAAAAAAGAAAAAAGGGAAGUCCAUGUCUUUCUCAAAAUCUCAUUAUCACCUUUUCUAGGGUAGAUUUGUUGGGAAAGAGAAUACUUUUCCUUUCCUGUUCCCCUCUAAAUCUCUACCACUUUCUUCUUCCAUUCUCCCUUCUUUCCUGCCCUUUAACUAAAUGAAAAAGUUUGAAAAAUGGAAAAAAAAAAGAGAGAAUGGUGGAUACCCUAAUAUAAAAGAUGAGCUCUAAAACAUUAUGAGUAGUGUGAGAAAACAGACCCGAUCUGACCAAAAUACUGUGGAUUAAUGGACUGCCGUGCAGAGUUCCAAGCAGAGCACAGUCCUUGAUAGCAGGUCACGUCUUUUACUUCCUGGUACUAUCCAUCUUGGACAGACCAAGGCUUAGGAUUUUGUAGGUGUUUUUAGUACGGUAAGUGAGAAUAGCAACAGAUGAAAAGUCUCACGAUUUUUGUAUCUACAAUGAUAACCUUAGAAAAAUUCUGCUCGUAGCAGCAGAUUGAGUAGUCAUUUGUCAUCUCCUUGUAGUAAUGUUACUUUCAGACUCAUGACUAUUCAUUCUUUCCUGUUUCUUUUUCUUUUCCUUUAUUUCCUGGUCUUCCCUUUUUACCUCCUCUCCUUCUUAUCCCCCUCCUUCCCUCCCUUCCUUAUAUACAUGUGUUACUACAAAUCUCCAAUUCAAAUGGAGGUAUAUAUGCCUUUACUUAGCCAAUUUAAAAACAGAACUCAAAAUGGAAGCCAUGCUGCUGAAUAUGUGUUACUGUUUCUUCAGUGCCAUACUUUGAUACCUUCCAAUUUGUUCACUGAUAUAAAUGCAAAUUGGGAAAGUAAUUAAACGUAUUUGCUGUUGAUGCUGUCAGAUGUUUCUGUAGCUUGCUGCUUAGUAUAAUUGAGGGAUGAGUAAUGGGAUAAGGAUAUGAUACAUAAUUCCACUGUUGCUGUAGAUGGUGGCAGUCUUGGUCCUGAUAUAUUGAUGUGUGAAAGCUAUUGAGUUUUAAAGCAAUGAGUCAUGUAGAGACGCAAUAUUGGUGAAGCCUUUCUAGCAUUUCUUUAGUAGGUUUCAGAGCGACCUAUCUGCUCAUGGGGACUAUACAUAUUGUUUAAGGGACUGAUACUUAUGGUUGGCCUCACCAUGCUUGUCCUGAUCCUAUGGGUAAGAGAAAGAGAUCCCAGAAGUUUGAAUUGCUUUUAUUUUAGAACCUAUCUCUAUAGGAAAGAAAAAUCAUUUUAAUAAACACCAAACAAAAUAAUUUAUCAUGGUUGCCUUUCCCUCCCCAUUUUCCCCACCAAGCCAGCAAGUAAAGGUGUUCAGAAAAGUUCCUCAAAGUGGGCAGAAGAACUCUUUUUAAAUGUUGAGGAAAUGUCCCUAAGUUUAGGUUUACUAUCUUUCAUUUAGGGCAAAAAUCCAAAGUCCCCAGCACAUCAUGACUCAACUUUGUCUCACAGAAGCAAGUGUGUUGAAAAUAAAGUUGCUUUAUGAACUUAGAAAAUAGAACAUUGUUAGAUUGGACAAAUUUAGUUGUAAAAUAACAGGUUGUAGGGCCACUCUUGCAUUCUGAGAUUAUUUCCUAGGGCUCAGUCUCCUUUAUCUACUCUUGGCCAAACUCAGAAGGGUAUUAGAAAGCUCUGCUCUUGGCCCCUUUCUUCCCUGUUACCCUUCCCAGCCUUUCUGUACUUACAGUCACCCAUCUAUGGCACAUCAGCAGGGACACAUGAGAAUGUAGGGCCUUGUUUCUUUUUUUCUCUUAGUUGUAUGAAUUCUAGAUUAGGCCUUAUGGACACUUGUUCACUGAUGUAUCUCAAGUUUGAGAACAAGCCCUGAUAAUAUUGUAGGUGCUCAAUAAAUAUUAAUUGAAUAAACAACUUAGCGCCAAGAGGAGCUUUUUCAGUUAAACAGAAAUUUAUCAAAUAGAACUUGAGAAAGGACACUAAUUAAAUGUGGCCAUCUUAACCCAAGCCAGGACCUAAACUUACUGGUUUGCCUACUAGUCCUUAUUGUCUUGGCAAUAUUUGCUAAGAUGAGCCUUCUUAAAUAAAAAUGAAUUCUCAUUUAAUGGUGGGUGAAAAAGAGGGUUGCUUUCUCAUAAUUCAGUAUGGCUUGAUCUGACUCAUAAGACUACCAGAGUCCAUGUCUGCCUCCAUUUUGGUGUGAUCUUUUUCUUUUUUUUAAUAAUGUUACUAAAUAUAUGGCGAACUUUCCUUCAAUUUACAAUACAUCAUAUCCGUCAUAUAGUCAGAUUUGGGGAAUCUGUGAAAUCAUGUAGUUUGCUUAUAUUAAUGAUAUUAUGGCUUUGUCUAGACUGUAUCCUCAAAGGAUUUUAUGCUUUGUCCUUUACCUAUGCAAGGCUUUUUAGUCCUUUAUGUGCUUUUGUUAGAUCUAUUGAAUUAUAUUAACAUUUAAAUUUGAUUAUAUGGGGCCAGUUAUCCUUUCUGUGGAUUACUUAGAGUAGGCCAUUAGUUUUUCCUAGCCAUUUUUUCCUUCUUUUUUUUAAAGUCAUUUCAUGUUAGCACCUCUACCUGAGUAAAGAGGAAAGAAAAUAACUAAAAAUGAAAGUGAAAUGGAUUGAUUUGACAAUGUGUCAAUUUCUGAGUUAGAGUUUGGUAAGAAAGGUAAAAAUCACUGGCCAAAAUAAGACACUUGGAUUAGGGCUAUUUCCUGUAAACAAUUUAGACUUGCUGGAGAGAGGAGGCAGAAUUUAACCAAAGGCUGGAUUCUUCUUUCUUCUUCUGUUUAUGAAUUUAUGUCUUUGGAGGACACUGGUGACAUCCAGUGUUAGAUCAUGAUUUGCCUCAUUUGCCCUUUAAGCUACCCCAUAAUUCUUCUAGAUCCAGCAUCAAGUUUCAGUUAAUGAAUCUUUCUGAAUAAAUACCAGUUGCAAGUGAUUUUGAAUUGGUCCUCUGACUAAAAUGAAAACUUCUUUUUUUUAUAAUAAACUAAGCUACGUGAAUGAGAUCAUAUUAUAAUCAGGAAAAAACUAUUUAAUUUUUUGCCCCACGUAUCAAACCAAUAGCUUUAAAGAUAGACAUUUUCUAUUUCUUAAUCCUGCAGAACUCUGUAUUUCAUAAUCAUAAGUACUUUAGGGACUGCUGCCCUAUUAGCCUGUAGAAGAGCUCUUCUAGGGUUUUACCCUUUCUUUUUUCUAGAGUUUUUUUUUUUUAACUUCAACUGGUUACUUAUUCUCCUCAACCAUGGCCCUGACAGAUGUGUUUCAGUGCAACUAUAGUCCUCCUGAGACUUAACUUGAAAAUGAAAAGCAGUGAAAAAACAUGUGUUAUCUCAUCCUUCUGACAAAAUGUACUCCAUGCUUUGCUCUUCUGCCCAAAGUGCAUCCCACUCUCCAGGAAGGAGUUUGGUUACAUGUCAUUAGGUCGAGACUGGCUUGCUGUUAUGCCCUAGGCUGGGAUUGCUUUCCAAGUCCAUUCAUUGAUGUCCUGUUGAAAUCACAAACUGGUUCUUGAGUUAAAGAUUAAAAAGGUAUUGUUUUAGUAGAAGUUGAAAUCUACAUGAAAUCAUGGAAAUUAUGUAUUUGUCACUUGCCAAACAUAGGCCAAGCUCAGUGUUAGUGAGUACUUGGUAUUUCUUCAGGAUUUCAGGAUAGGCCUCUUUAGCAGAGCGGAAUCUUCGGUUAAAAUCCCAUAAAUUACCAACUUAAAGUUUUGCACCUCCUGUCACAGAUGGGCUGGUGGUCACUGGCAAAAAGCAGGCCCCAAAAUCUAUUUCGAAAAGUCUCAAAUGACAUUUGGUUACUCGGUUUGAUUCUCUUGAAAAAGCAUGAUCUGAAAAUAAUUUUAAAAGAACGGAGGCCAAAUUGCUUUAUGUAGAAAGUAACAAAAUAUAGGUCUUUGAUUUGAAAAUCAGAGAUAACUAUAAGCAACAUUUGCUAAUGAAGCCCAUUACCCAGGUGAUUCCACCUGCAAGGUAACUUGCAUCCUUGCAAGGCUGGUAGAUGGCUCUUCAUUGGUCUUUCUAAAAAAGUCAUUGGUCUUGCAUCAGUAUGGUGAGAAACACUUCAGUUUGGGUGAGAAUUUCUUUGACUCGUUUGGAUAAGAAGUCAGAGCACAAAAGCUACCCUCUUCUUUAACUGACUUUGUGAAAUGCAAGAGUCAAAAUUUUACUUUCCUACUGAGUUAAAGCAGAAUUUUCAGAGGUAUUGUGUUCUAGUUCCCUUGGCGGGUUGUGACUUUGACACUUCAGGGAGUGAUGUAGGGAGGUAUUUAGAAGGGGGAACACUAGGCUAGGUGUGAGGUGUCCUAAUAUUCCCAUGAAUUAGCUAUAACAUUAUGCAAAGCACAAUCUCUUGCAGUUUCCUCCUCCUCCACAAGAUAGACUAAUAGUAAUAAUACCUGUCAGAAUUAUUGUAAAAAUUAGAUAAAUUGAAAAUGCUUGGUAAACAGUAAACACUCAAAUAUUAGUUUUCUCCUUGAUUAAGAGCAGACUUUGGAUGGUCUGAUACAACUACAGAUCCUUAGAACGAAACAAGGAAUCCUCCUGACGUAAAAAAAAAAACUCCAUUUCUGAAAGGGCCUUAAAAGAAAAUCACUCAUUUGAUCCAUUCUUCUGCCUUAGGGCAUAACUGUUACCCAAGAGACUCCACUUCUUUACCUACUUCAAGAAAGGCAUUCUCUCUCUCUACCCAGUGGGCAGUUCCAGGGUCGUAAAGUCAUUAUCAGGAAACUUAAGCUUAUUACUGAGAUACCUCACAGUGCAAUUUGAACCUCUCUCUUCUUGAUCCCAUUCUCCAUUAGAAGAAAAAUGGGUUGAUCCUGUUUUCUUUUUAAAGGGCCAUGUUUGCCAUUUAUUAUAGCCCUUCUGCCUCAAUUUUUUUUAAUUGACAGAAAAAGCUCAUUAAGGUGAUAAUUAUUAUUUCCUUGGGGAAUGUCAGGAUAGGUAUUUAUAAAUU
RNA transcript from Mesoplodon densirostris (Blainville's beaked whale), 6373 nucleotides. It is a transcript of the gene named RAB30, member RAS oncogene family, with no coding region annotated. Lineage: Eukaryota; Metazoa; Chordata; Mammalia; Artiodactyla; Ziphiidae. The record is from RefSeq and is a predicted model, not a curated record. The transcript has 6 exons.